This 1134-nucleotide ribosomal RNA is filed under the name Stenotus witchelina. RNAcentral's name for it is "SSU rRNA". It matches the Rfam family "Eukaryotic small subunit ribosomal RNA", at positions 421 to 1730 of the family's 1831-position model. Lineage: Eukaryota; Metazoa; Arthropoda; Insecta; Hemiptera; Miridae. The record is from RNAcentral.
GAAGGCAGCAGGCACGCAAAUUACCCACUCCCGGCACGGGGAGGUAGUGACAAAAAAUAACGAUACGGGACUCUUAUGAGGCCCCGUAAUCGGAAUGAGUACACUUUAAAUCCUUUAACAAGGAUCCAUUGAAGGGCAAGUCUGGUGCCAGCAGCCGCGGUAAUUCCAGCUUCAAUAGCGUAUAUUAAAGUUGUUGCGGUUAAAAAGCUCGUAGUUGGUUCUGCGUGCCACGCUGUCGGUUCGCCGCCUGCCGGUGUAACUGGCAUGCCGCGGCAUGUCCUGUCGGUGGCGUUCAGGAGCCUCGUCUAGGCGCCGGCCCUUGCCUCAAAGCUUGGUGUUUGGAGGCCGGGGGUAUACCUGUUCGCCUACUCUAUCCUACCUAGGUGCUCUUUACCGAGUGUCGAGGUAGGCCGACACGUUUACUUUGAACAAAUUAGAGUGCUCAAAGCAGGCUGAAAUCUCUGCCUGAAUAGUGGUGCAUGGAAUAAUAAAACAGGACCUUGGUUCUAUUUUGUUGGUUCUUAGGAACACAAGGUAAUGAUCAAUACGGACAGGCGGGGGCAUUCGUAUUGCGACGUUAGAGGUGAACAGGAGUGGAGCCUGCGGCUUAAUUAUGACUCAACACGGGAAACCUCACCAGGCCAGGACAUUGGAAGGAUUGACAGAUUGAUAGCUCUUUCUUGAUUCAGUGGGUAGUGGUGCAUGGCCGUUCUUAGUUGGUGGAUCGAUUUGUCUGGUUAAUUCCGAUAACGAACGAGACUCUAGCCUAUUAACUAGGCGUUUUCCGGUGUCCCCGCCACCGGCGACAUUCAUUCUUCUUAAGGGGACAGGCGGCUUUUAGCCGCACGAGAUUGAGCAAUAACAGGUCUGUGAUGCCCUUAGAUGUCCUGGGCCGCACGCGCGCUACACUGAAGGAAUCAGCGUGUGCCUCCCUGGCCGAAAGGCCCGGGUAAUCCGCUGAACCUCCUGCGUGCUAGGAAUUGGGGCUUGCAAUUGUUCCCCAUGAACGAGGAAUUCCCAGUAAGCGCGAGUCAUAAGCUCGCGUUGAUUACGUCCCUGCCCUUUGUACACACCGCCCGUCGCUACUACCGAUUGAAUGAUUUAGUGAGGUCUUCGGACUGGCGGUAAUCCCUA